CGGAACGGGUGGAGUAACGCGUGAAUAACCUGACUCAAAGAAGGGGGAGUAACAACGGGAAACUGUUGCUAAUACCGCAUGAGACCACAACACCGCAUGAUGAAGGGGUCAAAGAUUUAUCGCUUUGAGAGGGGUUCGCGUCCCAUUAGGUAGUUGGAGGGGUAACGGCCCACCAAGCCAACGAUGGGUAGCCGAGCUGAGAGGCUGAUCGGCCACACUGGAACUGAGACACGGUCCAG
This 239-nucleotide ribosomal RNA is filed under the name uncultured bacterium. Its description in RNAcentral is "partial 16S ribosomal RNA". It matches the Rfam family "Bacterial small subunit ribosomal RNA", at positions 100 to 334 of the family's 1533-position model. The record is from RNAcentral.